GUAAAAGCAAGUAAACAUAACCCCAAAAUAACUUAACCAAAACCAAAAUAGUUACAUAUAUCCCACCUUAAAGAUCUUUUUGAAGAGGAGAAAACCAGCAUUUGGAAACAAAAAUUGGGAAGCUACGUAAGCCGUUUAUAGUCAUUGCCAGCAACUCCAACGAAGCUUGAGAAUGUUCUUUAAGUGUAAUCCCACAUGGAUUACGCGGGCUUGUAACCCGAGUGGGGGCUUUGAAUUGGUUGGAGAUUGAUUUUGGCCCUGAAGGUUGGACUAUGGGAAGGUUGAUUUCUGGCCCCGCCCAUUCCCAAGGAGAGAGUUGAGCUUUCGAGUCUUGAGCGUAAGUUCGGGGCUCGAUGCCUCCUAGAGCGGAGGGGACAGCGAGAGGCUGGUAACAGAGCACAACGAAGACCUCCCGCUCUCUUCGUUGGAAGGAUAACGGGCCGGUGCUUUCCAUGCCCAGUAGCUCCUGAUGGGCCGACCUCAAUAUAUGACAACAAUUUUUUUAAAUUUAAAUUUUGCAGGUAUCCUGAUGUGUUUACACAUCAUUGAAUGAUUUUUGUUUCUGGGUGGAAAUUGAAGGUAUGUAAUUCCGCAUCGAGUAUGAAUCCCGUCUUUGAUUUAGUACUCUCUGCACUCAAAAGUAAUCGGACUCCGAUGGUCUCUACAAAGUUUAUCAACUUGCAGCGGCGACCUAGGGUUUCUUCGCGCUUUCACCUCUCUCGAGCUUCGACUUCUAUUCCGUAUUUCUAUGGAGAAAGGGAAAGAGAAGGAAAACUCGAUGGGUUUGUCGUUUCUGUGAGAGUUUGCAACGAAGACAAAGGGCCUGGAAUUCUUUUCUUUUUCUCAGUUUGGGAAGAGGAGGAAGAUUUUGUUUUAAGAGAAGAGGCGAAAAGGAAAUAUCAGAAUCUGGGAACAGUUCUGUAAUAACCCAGUCCGAAAGAUCGGUAGUCGGAUGCUUAUAACAUUCAUAAUGGGAAAAUAUAUGAUAUAAACAUAAAACCUGAUACGAUCAUAAUGGGUUUCAAAUCCUACCAACGAAAGUAAAACCUGUUACUAGUUACCUACUGCCUUUCUCUGUUUGUUUUUUUUUCCUGUUUCAGCUGCCUUGUAUUUAUAUUACUCUGCACUGUAUGAGACUCUUAUCACAUCUUGCUUCUACAAAACUUCGAUUUUCUUUUCCCUCUGCUUCUGGGACUA
Carica papaya (papaya) is the source of this 1197-nucleotide non-coding RNA. NCBI's taxonomy places the organism in Eukaryota, Viridiplantae, Streptophyta, Magnoliopsida, Brassicales, Caricaceae. The record is from RefSeq and is a predicted model, not a curated record.